UACGGGGAAGGCAAGCGUUAUUCGUCGUUAUUGGGCGUAAAGGGUACGUAGACGGUAUAUAACUAUAAUUAAAUUAAAUUCAAAAACAGACCUUUUUGAAAAUUAAUUAUUAACAUUAUACUUGAGUAAUGCAUAAGUUAAUAGUAUUUUUAAAGUAGAAAUGAAAUUCGACAAUAAUAAAAAGACUAUCAGUCGGUUAAAACAAUUAACUAAUGUGUUACUAACGUUGAGGUACGAAAGCGUGGGGAGCAAACAGG
This 257-nucleotide ribosomal RNA is filed under the name uncultured bacterium. RNAcentral describes it as "partial 16S ribosomal RNA". It matches the Rfam family "Bacterial small subunit ribosomal RNA", at positions 524 to 776 of the family's 1533-position model. The record is from RNAcentral.